Coffea arabica (coffee) is the source of this 362-nucleotide long non-coding RNA. RefSeq lists it as uncharacterized. The record is from RefSeq and is a predicted model, not a curated record. Lineage: Eukaryota; Viridiplantae; Streptophyta; Magnoliopsida; Gentianales; Rubiaceae.
GCCAUACCGGGGAAGGAGAUUGGAAUCUGUAUCGGUCAAAAUCAAAGUUGAGAUCUGGAAGGUAAGUCCAGAGGGGAAUCCACCUUUUGGACAAUGCACUAGUUUGAAUAGACUGUUUGAGGUCGAGAAAUGAAAGGAUUUUGCAGAGAAUGGAAUCAGAUCUUGGUUUGAAGCUAGGAGUCAACUCUAAUGCCAGAAGUCUAUAAGAAUGUUAUAUUUUAAAGGUAAGACUUUUGUGCUUGUUGACUAAGUCUCUUACCUCAAUUCUAUGUAAUUUCUUUCCAAUCAACAAGAAUUUGUCACCUAAAUAUUUAUUUCUAUGUAGAUGUGUUGCACAAUAAAAUGUUCUCAAUUCCAUGCCU